CCUACGGGUGGCAGCAGUGGGGAAUAUUGGACAAUGGGCGAAAGCCUGAUGCAGCAACGCCGCGUGAGGGAAGAAGGCUUUCGGGUUGUAAACUUCUUUUCUCAGGGACGAAGAAAGUGACGGUACCCGAAGAAUCACCCACGGCCAACUACGUGCCAGCAGCCGCGGUAAUACGUAGGUGGCAAGCGUUAUCCGGAUUUAUUGGGUGUAAAGGGCGCGUAGGCGGGGGCGCAAGUCAGAAGUGAAACCUCAGGGCUCAACCCUGGGCCUGCAUUUGAAACUGUGUUUCUGGAGUGCUGGAGAGGCAAGCGGAAUUCCGGGUGUAGCGGUGAAAUGCGUAGAUAUACGGAGGAACACCAGUGGCGAAGGCGGAUUGCUGGACAGUAACUGACGCUGAGGCGCGAAAGCGUGGGGAGCAAACAGGAUUAGAUACCCUUGUAGUC
This 443-nucleotide ribosomal RNA is filed under the name uncultured bacterium. RNAcentral's name for it is "partial 16S ribosomal RNA". It matches the Rfam family "Bacterial small subunit ribosomal RNA", at positions 338 to 795 of the family's 1533-position model. The record is from RNAcentral.